AAGAAUGCAGGGUGUUUUGAUUCUGAUAUUUUAGCUGCUUUUGAUGCUGCGGUUAAAGAUGGAGUUGAUGUCAUUUCGAUUUCCAUUGGUGGUGGUGAUGGGAUUUCGGCACCUUAUUAUCUUGAUCCGAUUGCCAUCGGUGCUUAUGGCGCGGCUUCUAGAGGGGUUUUUGUCUCGUCUUCGGCUGGGAAUGACGGGCCUAAUUUAAUGUCAGUGACGAAUCUUGCUCCGUGGAUUGUUACUGUUGGUGCUGGAACAAUUGACAGGAAUUUCCCCGCAGAAGUUGUUCUUGGUAAUGGGAAGAGAUUAUCUGGUGUUUCGCUAUAUGCUGGUUUGCCAUUGAGUGG
RNAcentral lists this long non-coding RNA (347 nucleotides) under Populus trichocarpa (black cottonwood). RNAcentral's name for it is "long non-coding RNA (PTRI_LNC001296)". The record is from RNAcentral. Lineage: Eukaryota; Viridiplantae; Streptophyta; Magnoliopsida; Malpighiales; Salicaceae.